Long non-coding RNA from Hemicordylus capensis (graceful crag lizard), 1649 nucleotides. RefSeq lists it as uncharacterized. The transcript has 2 exons. The record is from RefSeq and is a predicted model, not a curated record. Lineage: Eukaryota; Metazoa; Chordata; Lepidosauria; Squamata; Cordylidae.
AAGGCGCAGAUGCUCUGUGCCCAGCCCAGCUAGUUUUAAUGAAAAGCCAUAUAUAAACCGAACAAUAAAUAAAUAAAAUUCCUAAGGGAGGGGCUUUAGAAUGGAGCAGAGAGUGGCAGUUAAAGUGACUGUCUGUCCGCAGGGCGAGAGGGAGAGAAGCUCGCUAGAGGGGGCGGGGGGGGGGGUCUGUUCUGGGACUGGUGGGGCUCCAGGGAGGCAGGACAGGACCAGUGUCUAUACAGGAUAAGCGACCCAACUGUGGCUCCCUCAGUGAUCUCUCUGUCCUUGUACACUGGGUAGAACGUCUGCCAGUGGGUGAAAUCUGUGUGUCCAAAAUCUUACAUCACACCAUAUAGACACGAUAGCCAAGCCUGGUUAUUGUUGUUAUGGAAACCAUUACCAGUCCCGAGCCCUGCUUUGGCAGAGAGGAACCUUGAAGCUGCUUGUACAUAAAUAAGCUUGUUUUUGUUGUAUUUAAAAGUUCUUCUUGUGUCCAGUGUGUUAUACUUUCUUCUUACACAGCCCUCAGCUAGGGGUUGUCAGGAUAAAAACCCAAGCAGAAAGAGCUUGGUGGUGGCAGCAAAGACUAGAUAAAGAGGAGCUGAAAUAAAUACAUAUUUCUUGGGAACAGUGGUCCACCUAAGUUUAAGCUUAUUAACCUCUCUAGUUUUGGUUAACCCCCACACCCCCCCCCCCCCACUAGCAGUGUCUUGGACUGAUGAGUAGUGUGAUGCCCGUCACAAGCUCUGAAUGCUUUAUACAUCAUGACUAGACAGAAUGACAAACGUUAAAUAAAAUGGGAAGGAGCCAACUUGUUAUUUGAAACAACUGUAACAAUUAAGACCAUAGGCUGAGUGUAAAAACUGACACUUCUGUAUCAUUAAUGCAUAUCGCAAGGCUCUGGCAAGCUUUAAUUAGAAGGUACAUAACUUAGUGUCCGUUUCCUCACCCCUUCACCUCACUCCCUGUCUGGACAUCAAUAGCUAAGGGCUGAAGAAGAGCCAAGAAGACCAGAAGGACAAACCUGUUGACAGUUAUGGCUGUGAACAUCAGAACUAACAGUUUAUGAGCAACAACAUCCAACGAAGACAUCCUGACCCUGGAACAUCUUGUGAGAGAUAAGGACUUGGGUUUGAGACACUUUGGGCAGAACUUGGCAAGAGUAUGAAAGCACCUGCCAGAACCCUAGAUGUGGACAUUUGGGUGCAUCAGAAUUGAUGUGGUCCAAUGGAAGUGACUGACCUGGUGCCCUGAGAGCUGAUUGACCGAAAGAGGCAAAUAAAGAAGGCCCACGGGUAUAACUGCUUCUUCCCUAGGGCAAGAAGCUAGAGCUGGGGAGUCCAUCUCCCUUCUUUCCAACACAUGUUGUCUCUUCACUCCCUAGCCACUCUGAGCACCAACUUGCUUCAUUAUACAAUCUGCAGUAUCUUGGUAAGCCACAGGAUGAUAUCAAUCUGGCCCAUUGAUUGACUCCUGCAAUGAUUGAAUUGGACAUCUCACCUUAGUUCCGCCUCUCCUCUCUCUCUCUGUUUCUCCCCUCUUCCUUUAAGAAUUGUAUCUGAUAGGUGAGGAAAAGUCUAGUCUGUUUGCCUAGCCUCUCUGUCCGUAUUUUUUUUUUGCAAUUUUUCAGUAAAGGUAACAAAAGAGAA